Molecule: small nucleolar RNA, 93 nt
Filed under: Daucus carota subsp. sativus
Lineage: Eukaryota; Viridiplantae; Streptophyta; Magnoliopsida; Apiales; Apiaceae
Description: sRNA DCAR_sn00234
Rfam family: Small nucleolar RNA R24
About the family: snoR24 is a C/D box small nucleolar RNA which acts as a methylation guide for 18S ribosomal RNA in plants.
Source: Rfam by way of RNAcentral
AUUGCAGUGAUGAGGCAGUUAACAUAUAAGUGGGACUAACUCUGUGUUGGUUCUUCAAUGAAAUAUCUUUGUUACGCUUGGCUUCUGAGCUUU